UAGAUGGUUAUGAGCCACUAUGGUUGCUGGGAAUUGAACUCAGGACCUUUCAAAGAGCAGACAAUGCUCUUACCCUCUCUUACCCUCUGAGGCAUCUCUCCAAUCCCUAAUCUUUAUUAUUAUUAUUAUUAUUAUUAUUAUUAUUAUUAUUACUAUUACUAUUCCUUUCGAAACAGGGUUUCGUAGUCUUGGCCAUCCUGGAACUCCUUAUGUAAAUAGAGAUCCACCUGCCUCUUUCUCUGGAGUGCUGGGACAAACAGCGUGUGCCACCAUGCCUGACUGGAAAUCUUUAUGGAUGUAUUUUUUGUUAGGAAAAUAAGCAGGUACUUUGUGGUGUUAGAAAUACGUAUUCUAGGCAUGGUGGCUUAGCACUUUAGUCCCAGCACUCAGGAGGCAGAGGCAGGCAGAUCUCUGUGAGUUCAAAGCCAGCCUGGUCUACAGAGUGAGACCCUAUCUCAAAAGGAAAAAUACACUUACAUGAAUAAAACACAAAGAUAAAAACAAACUUGGACCAAGAGCAUGGCUCAGUAGGUAACGGCGCCUGCUGCCAGGGCUCGUGACCUUUGCUCUGUGUCUGAGACUCAUACGGUGGAAGCAGGAGAGAACUAGUUUCUUUCUUUCUUUCCUUCUUUCUUUCUUUUUUAAAAUUCAUUUAUUAUAUAUAAGUACACUGCAGCUGUCUUCAGACACACCAGAAGAGGACAUCAGAUCCAUUACAGAUGGUUGUGAGCCACCAUGUGUUUGCUGGGAAUUGAACUCAGGACCUCUGGAAGAGCAGUCAGUGCUCUAACCGCUGAGCCAUCUCUCCGGCCCGAGAACUGGUUUCUUCAGGUUGGCCUACAGUCUCCACCUGUUCAUCAUGGCACAUGCACACAAAAUAAACAAAAAGUUUUUAAAAAGUCUACAAAACUGAUAAGUUGACAACAAGGCUGUGAAGCAAAAGGGCAGAACCAGCAGAGGCCGGGCGGCUGCCCACAGAGGAGGACACCACACUCAAAGAGCAAGCGAAGCAAGAACAGAGGGCGUUUUCCAGGCUCUGUCCGUCCAGUCUUCCGAGAGCGGGCAGAGACAGAACAGGGAACUCACAGGAGGCCACUUGCUUCUUCUUAGAGGAGAGCAGUGCAGUAUUUGUCUCCAGAGAACCACCAGCUCUAACUGACACCAAAUGCCUAAAAGUAGGUAUGGUGAUGUCUGAUUUGUAGAUGUGAGAAGAAAAAUCCAGCAUUUAAAUGCUAGAAAAUGACAUCAGGUAAGUUGAAAGCUGAAUUGUCCUGUAGUUGAUUAUAUCGACUUUAUUUUAAUUCUUUGAAACAAGGCCUCGCUCUGUGAACCAGGCUGCCUAUGAACCAGCAGAGAUCUGCCUCACCAGGCCUCCCGGUGCUGGGGUUAAAGGUGUGUUCCACACAUGGCCUUAUUUUAAGUUUUUGAGACAGGGUCUCAGAUAGCCCAGGGUAACCUCCAACCUGUAGAGGGUGAUCUUGACUCCGGUCCUGAGCACUGGGACUGCAGGUUUGCAGCCUGGGUUAUGCAGUGCUGGGGAUCAAACCCAGGCCCUCAUGCAUGCUAGGCAAGCCUUCUAACAAACGAUAGCCGCAGCCAGACUUUAAAUAUGGUUCCAGUAAACAUGAGCAUUUCUGGUGUAGUCCCAACGAACAGAAACACAAUCUAUAAAUUUCAGACCAGUGGGGAAGUCAGAAGCAGUGUAAGAGCUGAAAGUCUACCAGGAAGAAGGAAAGGAGAACAGGAAACUUGGUCCUCGGCAAAAAGGUGAAGAGUAACCGGAAAGCGUACAUCGAAGGCCGGGUGUGGCGUUGCAUUCUUCUAAUUCCAGCAGAAGCAGGCUGUGAGGUGGGACAGUUUGAGACCAACUCAGUCUACAUAGUGAGUUCUAGGCCGUCCAAGGCUACAUAGUGAGACCCUGUCUCAAAAACAAAUAAAAACGCACAAACUGAGGUACAAAUUCCAAUUUCUGUCAGUUAUUAUAACAAGUAGAACUUAACUGAUAUGUUAAAAAGAAAUUUUAAAAAUGAAGCCUUAGGGCAGGUGGGACAACCUUUAAUUCCAGCGCUGGGAGACAGAGGCAGCCAGGUGUCUGAGCUGCAGGCCAGCCUGGUCUUCAGAGCAAGUUCUAGGAUAUCCAGGGCUACACAGAGAAACCCCGACUCACAAACAAAGAGACAAGAAGAGGCCUUACAUGAAUGGACAGCUAUGGCGACAAUCACAAGUGAUUAGAGCAAUCAAAGCUGUUGGGAUGCUGUGAAAACCGGGCAUCAGGAAAACCGAUGUCACAAAGUAAGAGAGGCUUAGCACUGAAGCCUUAGCUGCUCUGCUUGGGACCAACCCCAAGAGAGCAGAGCCAGGAACCAUAAAGACGAGAACAGAAAUGAACGGAUGGGCAGUGGGCUGACGCUCAGUGAUAGAGUACUUGACUAGUGUGUUUAAGUCAUAGGUUUGGUUUGAAAUCCUGACAGAAGAAAACUGCAAAGGGCAGGAUUAACACACCUUCUUUGGAUUAAAAAGAAGAAGAGGAGAGGUAAGCAAGAGCAAGAACCUGAACGGGACUGCGUGCUGCAGAUCCUGAAGCAGGGCGAGCAAGCUUAGUGGCACCUGUGCCUACAGGUGUGAUGUAUGACAGGCAUCUUCCAGGAAGAUUAUACAUUGACAACAGUGACUUGUAAGGUACAGUCAACUGUGUACCUAUUACUGAACAUCAACGCUAGACGCCAAGUCGACGGCAUUUGCCAUCACCAUGCCUCCAAAAAAUAUUUUCUUCUAACCAGGAGUAAAGAGGCAGCGCCAUCAGCACUAACAGUUUAUGGUCUUGACUAAUGUUAUGAGGUAAGAGAAAAGCUAGAAGUUAGGAUUGGACAGAAAGAAAAAAAUCUAACGGAGACGCUCCAAUGAGCUAUGAAGUGUUCGCUGACGUCAUUGGGCAUGACCGAAUCACAGAGGAGACAGCCUCAGCCUGCAAUGAACAAGUUCUUGGGAGAAAAUCUUAAACGGAACACAAUCUUUCAGAGAAGAUUAGUAAAUGUGUUUGGUUGGCAUCAGGGAGACAGGCCCGCCAUCACAGCGCUAACCCAGCACGUAAGAGAAAUUACUCUGAAGGCCUGGGCUGUAGAUCAGUGUUUGUCCGCAGGCCUGAGACCCUGGGUUUGAUUCCCAGCACUUUUUGUUUGUUUGUUUAUUGAGACAGGUCUCACGUAGGCCAGGCUAUCCUUGAACUUGAUCUUUACCCAAUGCGAUUGGAGUUCCUGAUGGUUUUGUCUCUAACUCCUCAGAGCUAAGAUUACAGAGAUGUGCUACAGCACCCAGCUGGAUAAUUUUGAGACAAGACCUCAGGUCCCAGGCUGGUCUCAGAUUCAAACUUAUUUGUCACCAUCCUUGGCUGAGAUAAGAUAACUUACAGGCCAGUUCCUUCAUGUGGGGUUAGAGCUACGACAGCAUAGUCAGAGCUCCCAGCACACUCAGGGGCCUCAGCUAAGCAAGGCGCUUCUAUGAGACCCUCUGCAGUAACAGAUACUCAAACAUCCAAGGCUGCUUCUUCCGUACCUACUGGGUAGUUUUUGUUUUUGUUUUUGUUUUUGUUUUUUUUUAAAGAUUUAUUUAUUUAUUUAUUUAAUGUAUAGGCGUACACUGUAGCUGUCUUCAGACACACCAGAUCUCAUUACAGAUGGUUGUGAGCCACCAUGUGGUUGCUGGGAAUUGAACUCAGGACCUCUGGAAGAGCAGUCGGAGCUCUUUUUUUUUUUUUUUGGUUCUUUUUUUCGGAGUUGGGGAUCGAACCCAGGGCCUUGCGCUUCCUAGGCAAGCGCUCUACCACUGAGCUAAAUCCCCAACCCCCAGUUGGAGCUCUUAACCACUGAGCCAUCUCUCCAGCCCCUACUGGGUAGUUUUUCCCCCUUCUUUCCCUUUCUUUUUCUUUUUCUUUUUCUUUGAGACAGGGUCUCACUGGGUAGCUCUAGCUGGCUUGGAAUUUGCUAUGUAGACCAGGUUGGCCUGAAACCCAUGGAGACCCAUCUGCUUCUGUCUCCAAAGUGUGCCACCCUGUCCUGCACCCACAGCAGAUUUCUGAACUACCAAGUUUGAGCAGUGUUCGCCUCACCACGCCAUGGCCCACCAGCAUCCUCUGCCUCUGGAGAAGGCUCUUAGUGCUUUGAUCCCUGACUAUGGCAGAGGGCUCCAUAGGCUGUCUACUCUCCCAGAGACCUACUCGCUGGAAGCUUGGUCCCUAAUGUGGUAACGCCAAAGUGCUGGGCUUAAGAGGAGAGUCUUUAGAGGCAGUCGGAUGUGGGAGAACCAGCCAUGGAAGGGACUGGUCUGGUUCUCAUGGGACCCAUUAGCUUCUGCGAGAGCAGGUUACUGAGGCAGAGCAGGCUGCCCUGCAGUUUUGCCAUGUGAUUGUUUUCUUCUUGUUCUCACCACAAUGCUUCUGCUCAGCUUGGUAUUGCUAGAGGUCUUCACCAGAACAAGCACCAGGUCUUUGACUGCUCAGACGGGUGCAUGCCAUGAGUGAAUGCCCUAGUGAUGGGAGGUUGGGAGUGAGGAACAGGGGGCUUACAGCGGCAGGGUCAAUGGUCAAGAAGAAGAAAGUCCCUCUGCCGACUUCUAGGUCAUCCCUGUGACACAGGGACUGUGCUGACGAGAAGCUGACCCUGGGCACGAGUGGCUAGAGUUGUGUUUAAGCACUGCCCAGAAGUUUGCUGAAGUCAUGCAGGCCUCACGUUGUGAUGUCUGCUGUGGCCAUUGUUUACAGGCCAUCGCUGACAGCACCCUCAGUGUCUUCUGGAUUUCAGGCGGAAAGCCUGUUACUGGCUGCCCGCCAGUUCUUCAUUCACAGCCCCUUACUGGCAGCUGCGGAUAAGCUGGCUUCAGGUAGACAUCGUAAUGACCCAGGACCCCUCUUGACACUCACCUCAGCUGUCCCGUGGUGCUCCUCACUGCUGUCCUGCAAGCAUAUCUACAUCUGUACCGAGACAGCAGGGCUCUGUGCAAGCCCCCAGAGCAUGCUGUCAUACUACGUGGAAGGCACUGGCAGGGACCUUGGAGAUCGCAGCUUCCCUGGGUGGCCACAGGCACCUUCAAAACGUCCGUCCCAGCCAUGAGUCAUCUGUGUAUCGAAAGGUCAGCUCUGUUUUUCUGUGAGAGUGUCACCAGCUUUAGGAACCCCAGAAUUCAGAAAUGCAGCCCAAACAAACGAUGCUACACAGAGGACCUUGGGUGUGUGCACAGAGAGAGGAGUCCUGUAUAUACUGGAGUGGAGGGAGAAACUUAUGUAAAUGCCCAGGUGUUGCCUUGGACCAUGGUGUGAACAGCUUGUCCUCAGGAAAGACCCACCAUGAUCUAGGGCAAAAGCUGCUGCCUUAUGUCCCAGGCUUAGACACUGACUCCUUUCUCCUGAGUAAGGAGCCCCAAGUACUUGCCUUCCUAGGGAGGGCUGCAGCCUUCUUGCAGCGUGGGCUCCUGUGAUGCUGGUGUCCCUCCGGGUGUCUGGACUUCUGUCUCCUGUCCAGGUGCCCUGGGUGGCAGAAGUGGGCAGGCUUUCUGCACCUGCCUGAGCAGGAGACAUCUGCAACCGCGUAGAGGACACGGCUUUAGUCGCGUGUAUAGAGGCGCCUUAGUUAAGGUUACUACCGUUCUGGUGAAACACUAUGACCAAGGCAGCUUGGGGAGGUGUCGUAGUGAGGGUCCACCGCUGUGGACAGACACCAUGACCAAGGCAACUCUUUUUUUUAAAUUUUCUAUAAUAUAAUUUAUUGAUAAAAUAUAAAUUAUUAUUGUAAACAAUAAAGAUGGAAGUGACAUAAUAUAAAACAUUUAUUAAUGCUUUAGUUAUAAGGUAAAGUAAUUAAUAUUUAUGAAUCUGUAUUAUUUGAUUCAUAUAAGAUUUGAAAUGCUAUAUCUAUUUUUAUUCCUUAGGAUAGCAUGUGCUUCGAAAUGAUGUAAUAAGAACUUAAAUCACUUUAUCACUCAUCACAAAAUAUGUGUUAACAUUUUACUUUUUAAUUUUAUUUCAUAAUUCCAGAAGAUAAAAACAAAAAUAUUCUGAAAACAUUCCUGAUUACUGAGCCACAUUGGUAAAUAUGAUUCCAAAUCAAAGUGAGCAAGCUUAAUCAUUUAGGCUGUCAUUACAAAGAUAUACUGAAAUAUUUGAAGAUAGAAUGCAUUUGAGGAGGACAUGUCAAGUUGGUACUGAGAGAGAAGCAUAAUCAAUCAUUCUUGGGUAAAUUCCCUAUUAAUAAUGUGCUAUGCAUGCUAACAGGGGUGGGAAGUAAGCACCAGGCUUAUCUAACUAUGAAUUUUUGAGGUACCAUUAUGAAUCUAGAAAGUCAUGAACCCUUUGCAAUAGUGACACAAAUGUAAUGAGAAUAAUCAAGCACUUUCUGAUUGGAUUUCAGGUCUACUCUAAAAGAGGGUUAUAUCUACACGGAUAUGAGAACAUAGAAUCUACACCUAGACAGGUCAUAGAACCUAGGGGGAAAGCUACUAUCAUUAAUCUGCUAAGUGAUAAUAUUUGGAGGAGAUUGUUAAGGACUUAUCAUACAUUUACACUAAUGCUUCUUUUAAUUUUCAACCUGAAAGAGUUGCAUUUGGUUUUCCUUUCUAGAUGAUAGUGUGUCAAGUAAAGUAGAUUUAUGUCAACAUGGCAUGAGCUAGAGUUAUCUUUUUUUGAAAUUUUAUUUUAUUUUUCUUUAAUAUUUUAUGUAUUUACAUUUCAAAUGUUAUCCCCUUUGCCUCCUCUCCCAUACCUCCUCCUCUUUCCUCUUCUUCUAUGAGGAUACUCCCACUCCCAACCACUCACUCCCAACUCAAGGCCCUGGAAUUCCCAUACAUGGGGGAAAUGAGCCUUCACAGGAUCAAGAGAUUUUCCUCCUAUUGAUGGACAAUGCCAUCCUCUGCUACAUAUUCGGCUGGGGUCAAGGCUCCCUUCAUGUGUACUCAUCAGUUGGUGAUUUAGUCCUUGGGAGCUCUAGUGGACUCUGGGUUGUUGAUACUGUUGUUCAUCCUAUGGUGUUGCAAACCCCUUCAGCUCCUUCAGUCUGUUCUCUAACUCCUCCACUGGGGUCCCGACCAAGGCAACUCUUAUAAAGACAACAUUCAAUUGGGGCUGGCUCACAGGUUCAGAGGUUCAGCCCACUAUCAUCAAGGCGGGAACAUGGCAGUGUCCAGGCAGCCAUGGUGCCGGCUGAGAGUUCUACAUCUUCAUCUGAAGGCUGCUAGGAGAAGCCUGGCUUCCAGGCAGCUAGGAUGAGGGUCUCAAAGCCCACGCCCACUGUGACACACGUACUCCAUCAAGGCCACUCCCUGGGCUGAGCACACACAAACCAUCAAGGGAGAAAAGACUUUAUUUGACUCACACUACAGUAUCAUCAUCACAGGAAGUCAGGGCAAGAACCCGGAGGCAGGAGUGAAUGGAGAGGCCAUGGAGGGGUGCUGCUUACUGGCUUGCUCAGCUUGCCUUCUUAUAGAAUCCACAACCACCUGCCUAGGGAUGGCACCACCCACAGUGGGCGGGGCCCUCCCGCAUCAGUCGCUAAUUAAGAAAAUGCUCUGCAGGCUUGCUUACAGCCUGGUCUUACAGGAGCAUUUCUCAAUUGGGACUUCUUCCUUUCAGAUGACUCUAGCUUGUGUCAAGUUGACAUACAAUUAGCCUUACUUGAGGGCUUGCCCAGUACCUGCUCAGGCUUCAGGACUCUCAGUCUUAUCUACAGAUAAGGUCACCCCCUGCAUCUGUCAAAGAAACCUUGUUGGGGUGAGGCACUGGCCCUGGGGGGUGAUGGCUUGCCACACCUGUGUCAUCCUACUCCUGUGCCUGUAAAGCGCCAGUCCCCUCCACUCUGCCAGUGUAGAGGGAGGUGCCAGGGACACUGAAGAUGGCUGUGUGAAAGCCACAGGCCGCAGUCGCCAGCCACAUAGGCCUUUCAGGGAUGAUACCUGGCCUACUAGGGCUCCUACUCAGAGCACACUGCCAAGAAAAUGCCCUGCAUCAGGAGGGUUAGGGGCACUGUGCAGGCAGCAGGGACCUUUCCUUUAAAUUCUGUGGAUUCUGCCCUGCCCCUUGGUGGCCAACUUGAUGGUAAUACAACCAAAGAAGAAGAGGAGAUCUUUUUUAUUUUUUAAAGGUUUAUUUAUUUAUUAUAUAUAAGUACACUGUAGCUAUCUUCAAAUACACCAGAAGAGGGCAUCAGAUCUCAUUACAGAUGGUUGUGAGCCACCAUGUGGUUGCUGGGAAUUGAACUCAGGACCUCUGGAAGAGCAGUCGGGGCUCUUAACCGCUGAGCCGUCUCUCCAGCCCCAAGAAGAGAUCUCCUUACAGAUAAUCUUACAGAGCCCACGCGAGGCUUUUUGAGAGGCUUGGCAGCCAGGAGAGGGUUGGGGAACCCCUUCGGGGUUGGGGAGCCCCUUCGGGGUUGGGGAACAUGGAUGCUCUGUUGCUUGUGCACCAGCAGGAGGUCUACACUUCCCCAAGUCUGCUGCUCUGCACCAGCCAGGGCAGGGCACACAUUGCCCAGUGUCUUCAGAUCUGCCACCAUCCAUAGUCUGUGGGUGGGAUCUGGGGCUCGGGUGGUUUUGGGUUUCUGACUUUAGAGCUUGCUGAAUGCUUCCUAAGGGCACGUGGAGGGGAAGGGUCCGGUGCUCACCUGGUUUGCUGAUAGAGUAGUCUGAGAGAAGCUGGGACAGUCGCCUUGAGAAAGCCUGUGUCCUGCCCUUCAGGGGCAAGCACAGCCGAUAGAACACACUCCUCAGCCACUUGCAGAAGGGAUGCAGGAGGCUGGCCCAGCGCAGCAAAUGAAAAUCUCUUCCAAGUCCACAGUGAUCCUUCAAGGCUGUGCGGAGACAGAGAUCAGGACUAGGGGUGGCACCGAUCAGCAGGGGCUGUGAUCCAGAGCAGCCAGAGGAUGCAGCCUUCUCAGCUGUGUGGCCAGAAUGGAGAAGUUGUUUGUCUGUUCACAGGCAUCUCAGGCCCCAACGGAGAGCAAGGAGGCCUUGUGAUGACUAACACAGCCACCUUCUCGACCGUGCAUCGGCAAGAGACAAACCUCCAGGUGUGUCUGUGAGACAGUUUCUAGACUAGGUUAACUGCAAUGAGAAAGACUCGUCCUGACUCUGGGUGGCAUCGCCCCGUGGACAGAGGUCCUGGGCUGAGGAAAAGGAAACCGAGGCUGAGUACCAGCACCCACGUCUCUGCUUCCUGAUUGUGGAUGCAAUAACCCCACACUCCACACGCCGUGUCUGUCCAUGCACCAUGUCUGUGCUGGCACGAUGACCUAUACCCUCCGUCUGUGAGCUAAAACCAGUCUUUCCCUCCUUAGGUUGCACAUGUCAGGUAUUCGGUCCCAUCAAUAAAAAGACUAACACAGGGCACCUUCUGCAGGCUGGCAUGAUGGUUUAUAAGCACUGGUAUUCAAGAAGUCCUGGUGCCUUGUCAGCCUCACAGGGUCCCUAUUCUUGCCAUAGGGAAUAUGUCACCCUCACAGGGGACCUGGAGGUAGAGGUCAGUAAAGGUAUGCUGUGUAUGCUAUAGAGGUCUGGCCCGGUCGGUCUAUAAAUACCACCCCCUAAGGCCUCUACAGUGUGCCUAGUGGGUAUCAUGCCCACAGUCCUAACCAAGGUGCCCACCUGCAACAGUGUAGCCUCACACCUGGCCAUACCCUCCCAGGCUGCCAGGAAGUGAUGCCACCCCUAGUGAUGGUUAAGUAACCCUUCUUCAUAUUCCACUGCUGCUUCUUGAGGCUUGAAUCAGUCUGGGCUACCCUAAGAGGAGCAGGACUGAGGGACAUUCUUGUCCUGUGCCAUGACAUGUGUCAUGUCUCCCACAUGUCUUGGGACAGUGGCUUGUUCAUAGAGGGGGCUCACAAGGGUCUAUCUUGGGCUCCUCCUUAGGGCUGGUAGAGGGGAGGACAGUCUGCCAUCUAUGGCUAGGAGACAUCUAAUUCUCCGGUCCUGGGGUGUGCCCCACCUGGUCAUGAAUCUGACCAUAGGACGCAUCCUAUUUGGACAGGUGGCAGAUUGGGCCAUUUGUUGUCACAGCCCCAAAGAAUGGGGCUGUCUGAAGCAGAACUUCACCCUGAGGCAAGGUGCUCACCUCCCUUAGAGCCCAAGUCGGCAGUUUCCCAGCCACCACAGCUGGCAGCUGCUCCUUGGGCAGUAAGAAGUCCAGGGCACUGGGUAGCAGGGACAGCAUCACUCUGACAGCUCUCUCAGCUGACUCUCUGCUUUACUAGGUCAUGUGGGGGCCAUCAGUGAGGACUUCCAUAGGCCCAGGGGGCUCAGUUGAUCUCAGCAGGUAUGGCUAAGCCUUGCAGGUCCACAAGGACCUCUCCUGUCCAAAGUCCCUGAGAGACCAGUCUGCCAUGCAGCUACCUCUACCCAGGCUUGUCUGCAUCUCUAAGUCCCCAACUCUAUAUGGCUAUGUGGUUAGGGAUGUUCAUCAGUGCCUCUGUCUGGUCAACACUUUCCUAGAACAUGGUGCCUCUGCUUUUCCUCCUCUGACCCUUGCUCUGUAGACUGUAUGCCUGGCCUUCCUCCUCUUUAUCCUCUGUGAUCAUAUUGGGCUCUCUGGACGUGGGGAGACCAAGAAUGUUCAGGUAGCUCGUGGUUGGGACAGAUAGCAGGGAUCAGCACUAGAGCAGUAGUGACCUACUUCUGUGGAGCUGAGUCCUCUCAUUGGCUGCCCUAAGCCAGCGCCUUGUGUCCAGUGCAGGAACAGAAGUGGCUACGAAGCUAGCAGAGCCCCUCAGGUCUCUGGAAAAUCCGGACAAGGCCACAGUUGGGUAUCACGGGUUUCAUCAAGGGACAGAGACUGGACAAGUUGAAGCCAUAGGAUGACUUAAGUGUGGGGACCCCCAGGAGUUAGGACUCCUUGCCCUCAUGACCUCUGGUCUUCAUGUCCCUCGAGUAAAUCAUGCUGACCCCCAUGGAGCUGCCUGCCCAGAUGGCUUCAGUGCCCCUGCAUCCUGAGGUGUCUGUUUCCCCUUGGCCAUGGGUUCCCACGUGGACGACAAUAUGUGGGAACUCCUCCACAUUCUUCAGGAUAUCCGCUGCCCUUCCGGCCAGCUCAGCCUUGGCACCCGGGGGGGACUAGCCUUCCGGACCUCACCCAAGGGCUGUGCAUUCCUCUCUGGUGAAUCACUGUCCCUCCUCCCCAGUGGCUUACUGCCGCUCUGGCUGGAUGCCACCUUCUGCCAGGCGGGGGUGGAGGGCUAGCUUCGCGGGUCAGCCAUCCUCCUGUGUAUGCCACAUCAAGAUCUCAAGAAGCCUUCAUUCUCCCAGGAGGCUGUAGCUGGAGACCAAGGACAGCUUUGCACCCAUGAGACAACUCUGGGAUCUGGCCCCAGGGCCACCGCACACCUAAGAAUGGAUGGAAUCACAGCACAGAGACGUCCGUGCAGAGCGGUGCUCUUUGAAGAUGCAUGUGUGCCUACCUGUCCUGCCUCUCGUUUGUGCCCUUCAUGGUUUCACGCCAUCCCUCCCUGCGGCUACAGGGGCUUCGCUGCGCUGAACAGCGGGAAGUCUCUCUGUUCCAGCAUGCGCACCUCACCUGAUGCUUAUGGAAGGCACACAGCACACAAGUGCACAGGAACAAACAGGAAAAGACCUCCCCCAGGAUUGCUCUAGGCCUCAGAGGCAUUGGUUAGAGCCUCGCAGCCGUGCGGUCUGUACACAGCAGCCUAGACCUUGAUGCAUGCUCUUCUGCAGAAGCAAAAAGAAAGUUGUCGCCAGUGACAGCCUCAGAAGUGUGAGCUGCCGGAGUUGAGCUGCCCUUACCACAGGCCUGCGUCUUAUCCCAUGCCCUUGGUACAGUGGCCCACAUGCUCAUCUGGCCCAUCGUAGGCAGCUAACCUUAGAGGAAGGUCAGAAGAGCCCAGGUCAAGCCUGUACCAAGGGGGUGACGUGAGUGGAUGGCCAUGGGUUAGGUAAGAUGCAGCCUCCCAGGUUGGCAGCCCAGGCACCUCAUGUGGCUGUGGAUAGGUAUUGGCCUUUGGUGGUACUCAGUGUCUACCUGAGGCCGUAAGUGGUGGCAGGGCCCAGCUGCCAGUGGAGGUCACCACGUACUGAUUACAGACUAGCCCAGGCACCAAUCCAUGCACCGCCAUGAACCACUUGUAGCACACGUACCUGUAUGCCCUGCUGGGCAAUGACAUUGGGGCAUAGUGUGGAAAGAGAGGCAGGGGACUUUGGGAGACCCAAAACAGGGCCCUGUCCUCCUGUGGGCAAAGACAGGAGGGGUAGCAAAGGUAUGUGUCUCCUAAUUUCUGCUUUGGGCUGUACAAUCUCCCCAAGGUCUGGGCUCUCCUGGCUCAGUCCCACUGAUUCCAGGGACAGAGUCCUGCCCUGCCCUCCCGGAAGCCCACCCCAGCUUCGCCUUCAGUCAGGCCAUGUGUUAUGUGCUCAGCAGAGGCCCUUCCUUUAGAUCUCAAGCAGGUGACCCCGGGGGCAGCGGCCUUGCUAAGGACUUUUAUGUCUCUCUUCAGGGCAGGGUCUUCCUGACAUUGUGGCAUGACUUCUGCUUCCUGCCUUCUCCCGCUAAACUGGAAUUCCUCAGUAGAAAGCACUCGGCAGUGGGGUUUCUCUGUGUACCCUUGACCGUCCUGGAACUCGCUGUGUAGACCAGACUGACAUCAGACUCAGAGAUUCGUAUGCCUCCGCCUGUUAGUGCUGGGAUGGAAGGCGCACCACUACUACCCAACAAGGACGAAGCUCUUUUUAAAUAAUUCUUUUUUUUUUUAGCAAGUGCUCUUAACCACUCGAGCACUUUUUUUAAAAAGAAUUAUGUAUUUAUUUUAUGUAUAUGAGUACACUGUAGCUGUCUUCAGACACACCAGAAGAGGGCAUCAGAUCUCAUUACAGAUGGCUCUGAGUCACCAUGUGGUUGCUGGGAUUUGAACUCAGGACCUAUGGAAAGGAAGAAUCUUUUAGGUAUCUUGGAUAGGCUCUCCAGUUUGCCAUCACCUUCAGUUACUGAAGCCUCUCCUGGGAGCUCGGAGAGCACUGAGAACCCAUGGUGUGAACUAUUUACCGACUUAAGGAGACAAAUGCGCUUGACUCUCCCGACUCACCGAUUACCAGAGGCCAUGAACCAAAACUUUUAGUCAUUUGUGGAAAAAUAAGGAAAACGAUGGUUGCUCCUAGCAUCUCUAGAUAAAUUGACAACAGAAGAGAAUGAGCUCUGUGAUAAAAUGAACUGACUUCUAGCAUCGCAGAAUACAUAAAGGAUAACAAUGAACUCAGGAAUAAAACUGACCAGCUCCAGAUGCAUACAAACUAGAGGUUCUCAACCUGUGGGUCACGACCGCCUGUGGGAUGGUUACAUAUAUGACAUUUACAUUACAAUUCAUCACAAUAGCAAAGUUACAGAUAUGAAAUAAUUUUAUGGUUGGGGUCACUGCAACGUGAAGAACUAUAUUAAAGGGUCACAGCAUUAGAAGGGUUGAACCCCUGCCAUAAACAGUCUAAUGUUUCCAAGUGUGCCCCGGAAGAGAAUCUCCUCUCCAGCGGCCACAGAGCUCAAGUUGUGGAGAGUCAAACUGAAGCACUCAUUAUAAAGAUGGCUGAAUUACAGUGGAAAUUCAAGCUCCACCUUGGAGGUGUCGGUGGUCACAGUGAGGGACUGGUGGGUAAAGCAGGGACCUGGUGACUCUGGGUGGGGUGUUGGGGACCUAUUGAAGCUGAGAAUGGUGAACCCUCAGAUUCUCAAGGGUUUACCUCACCUGAGGAGGGAGUCUUUUCACCCUCAGUAGACGGUGCAUUCACAGCCCCACCCUCUGAACUGUUGCCCCUUUCACCUUUGACUGAGAGCAUCUGAGGAGCUUGGUCGCCCUUUUUUCCUGUGCCAGACUCUGGGGCUGGAGGGGCUGCUGCCCAGUUGAAUGAAUUAAUGCUGCAGGUUUUGUUGGGCCCAAGGUAGCAGGGGCCAGAUGGCAGCAAUGAACCGUGAAAGGUGAGCUGAUUGUAGAUGUCCUAAUGGGCAGCACAGACAAAACAAUGUCUGACCCUGAGUAAUGGCUGACCGUAAUGGCCAGGACAAGCAAAGUGAUCUCUGUGGUGGCAUCACUCGUGUCUGGUCCUUUGGUACUGGCUAAUCAGUCAUGGUGUUUCCAGGCGUGGGAUGGAUAAGAAGCCUACUGAAGUUUUGUUUGAUCUGUAUAAGUGAAAAAAUUAUAAAACAAGUGAAAGAAAGACCACGUUGAGUCAUGGCAAAAGUAAUUCUUGGCCCGUGAACCAAUUUCCAGAUUUGAGCCAUUUUGCCCAGGCCUUAGGAAGAACCUUGAUAAAGUAACUAGAAGUUUUAUUGUUAGCCUUUCUCCAGUCCUUGCCCAGAGAGACCUUUGUAUGGUCUUUGUCAGGUAACUGUACACUGUGGGGAAAUGGAACGAUCAGACUCUACAGAGUCUACUGGAUACUGGUGGUGAAAUGACACUGAUUCUGGGAGAUCCCAAGAAACACUGUGGCCCCCAGUUAAAGUAGGGGCUUAUGGAGGACAGGUGAUGAAUGGAGUUUUGGCUGAAGUCUGACUCACAGUAGGUCUAGUGAGUCCCUGAAUUCAUCCUGUGGUCAUUUCCCCUGGUCCCAGAAUGUGUAAAUGGGAUAGACUUAGAAGUUGGCAGAAUCCUCACAUUGGUUCCCUGGCCUGUGGAGUGAGGGCUGCUAUGGUUGGACAGGCUAGACGGAAGCCUUCGGUUGCGUCAUUUGGAGAAAAGAAUGAAUCAAAACCAGUAUCGCAUCUCUGGAAGAACUGGAGUAGUGCCACCAUCAAGGACUUGAAAGAUGCAGGGGGCGGGUGGUCCCACCACAUCUCCCUUUAACUCUCCUAUCUGGGCAGUGCAGAAGACAGAUGGAUCAUGGAGAAUGACAGUUGACUAUCAAAAAUUCAAUUAUGUAGUGUCUCUGACUGUAGCUGCUUUACCAGAUGUGGUGUGUGUACUUGAGCACAUUGUCACGUCUCCUGGUACCUGGUAUAUGCUAUUGAUCUAGCAAAUGCCUUCUUCUCAGUUCCGGUCCAUAAGACCCACCAGAAGCAACAGUUGGCAAGGCCAGUAGUAUUCCUUUACAGUUUUACCUCAAGGAUAUAUUAACUCCACAGCUCUGUGUCAUAGUUGUAAGGGAUUUUAAUAAUCUGUUUCUUCCAUAAAAUAUCACAUUGGUGCACUAUAUUGAUGACUUUAUGCUGAUUGGACCAAGUGAGCAGGAAGUUGCAACCACUUUGGACUUGUUGAUAAUACAUAUACAAAUCAAUGGGUGGGAAAUCAGCACAACCAAAAUCCGAGGGCCUUCUACCUAAGUGAGAUCUUAGGAGUCCAGUGGGGUGGGGCAUGCAGAAGAAUUUCUUCUAAAGAUAUAGAACCUGGCCCUCCCACCACCAAGAAAGGAUUACAUUUAGUGGGUCCAUUUGGACUCUGCCGACAACACAUCCCUCACUUGGGUAUGCUACUUCAGCCCAUACACCAAUGCCUCAGAAAGCCGCGAGUGUUGUGUGGGGCCUGGGCUCUUCAAUCGGUCCAGGCUGCUGUGUAGGCUGCUCUAGCACUUGGGGUGUACGAUCCAACAGAUGUGAUGGUACUUGAGGUGUGGGUGGUGGAUAGGUGAUGUGUUGGGAAUGUCAACAGUCCCCAAAUGGGAAUCACAGAAGAGACCUUUGAGAUUGAAGAGCGAGGCCCUACCGUCAUCUGCAGACAGCUAUUCUCCUGUUGAAAGACAGACUUGAGUCUGCUACUGGACUUCAGUCUGCCAUUGGACUUUAGUGGAAACUGAGCCUUUCACAACGGGCCACAUAGUUACCAUGUGACCUGACUGCCCAUCAUGAGCUGGGUUUAAUCUGACCCACCAAGCCACAAAGUAGGAAAUGGGUAGCAACAUCCAUUACCAAAUGGAAGUGGUAUUUCUAUUGAGCCUAGGCAGGUCCUGAAGACGCGAGCAAGUUACACGAUGAAGUCUACUCUGAAGUUACAUGAUGGCUUCUACUCUGUUCCAGUGUUGGCUGCUGCUGAAUGCAUUCCUACAGCCUCACGGGGUGAGGAAGAGAAACCAAGGCCUGGUGGCCCUGCAUGCUAUGCUGAACGUGCACAGAUGCAGCAUUGUAACCCCUUUCUGGGACAGCCCUGGGAGACACGGUGAAGAGCAACCUUCACAGUGGGCAGGACCUCGGGCAGCACACACGGUCACACAUUUUGUUUGGAAGUAGAAAUGCCCAGAUGUGUAAUUGUUCACUAAUGCAUAGGGAUGUAGUCAAUGGAUUGGCUGGAUGGUCAGGGACUUGGAAAGAGCAUAACUGGAAAAUUGUUGGGAAAAACAUCCGGGGAAGAAGUAUGUGACUAGAUCUCUCCAUAUGGGCAGAGAAUGUGAAGAUAUAUGCUCACCAAAAGGUGACGUCAGCUGAGGAGGAGGUCAGCAAUCAAGUAGAUAGGAUGACCCAUUCUGUGACAGUCAGCCUCUUUCCCCAGUCAUUCCUGUCCUAAACAGAGUAGCCAUGGUGGCACAGACGGGAGUUGUGCAUGGGCUGACAACAUGGACUUCCACUCACUAGGACCUACCUCACUACAGCUGCUGUGAGUGAGUGCCAGGUCUGCCAACAGCAGAGACCAGCACUGAGCCCCAGAUAGGCACUGUUUCCUAGGUGACCAGCAAGCCACCUGGUGACAAGUUGGCUGUAUUCCACUUCCUCUGUGCAAAUGACAAUGUUUGGUCCUUGUCCCGAUAGAAAGAUGGAACUAGCUUUGGAGGCAAUUAGGGGGCAGCAGACUGAAGCACCAGGGCAGGGUUUUGAAUCAGCAUAUGAUUCGAUAUAUUACCAUAUGGUUUCUCCCUAUCAAGGACCCAUGGGUCCAGGAUCACAGGGUGGAAAAGGGAAUAGUUCCACUCACCGUUACCCCUAGUGGCCAGCAGGAAAAGUUUUGCUUCUUGUUCCUGCAAUCUUAAAUUCUGGAACCUAGAAGUUUUGUUUGCAGAAUGGGGAGUGCUCUCAGGAGCCAUAACAUUGCAUUGAUCCGGAAGCUCAGACACCACCACCCGCCUCCGCCGCUUUGCCCUUCUUAUGCCCUUAAGCCAAGAGGUUAAGAAAGGAAUAACAGUGCUAGGAGAAGUGAUAGAUCCAGAUUAUCACGGGGAAAUUGGAUUGCUUCUCUGCAGUUGAGGUAAGAAAAUUUAUGUCUGGAAUGCAGGAGAUCCUUUGGGGCAGUGGUUUUUAAUCUGUGAGUCGUGAACUCUUUGGGGGUUAGAUGACCCUUUCACAGGGGUCACCUAGGACGAUCAGAAAACAGGUAUUUACAUUACAACUCAUAACACUAACAAAAGUAUAGUUAUGAAGUAGCAGUGGAACUAAUUUUAUGCUUGGGUCUUACCACGACAUGAGCUGUGUUAAAGGCCUUGUCAGUAGGAUGGUUGAGAAGCACUGCUUUGGGGCGUCUCUUAGUCCAAUCAUGUCCUGUGAUUAAAGUCAAUUGGAAAACUCCAAGAAACUAAUUGAGGCAGAAUGACCAAGGGCACAGACCUCACCAGGAAGGAAGAUACGGGUCACUCCUCCAGGAGAAGAACCAAGACCUGCUGAGUGGCUUACAGAGCGUGAAGGAGAUACAGAAUGUGCAGUUGAGGAAGGCAGCCAUAAAGAUGAGCUAAGGUCACGUGAAGGACCUGGCUGUCCUGGAACUCACUCUGUACCCCAGGCUGGUCCUGAACUCAGAGAUUCACCUGCCUCUGCCUCUUGAGUGCUGGGGUUAAAGGCGUGCACCACUAUGCUCAGCUUUCAGGUUUUUGUUUUUUUAACUUUUUAUUGGUUCUUUGUGAAUUUCACAUCAUGCACCCCGAUCCCAGUCAUCUCCCCCUCCCCUCACAUUUUUCUUUCACCCUUGCAAAAUCCCCUGCCACAAAGAAAAGAAUCUCAUCAUGGACGCUGUAGUGUGUCCCACAGCGUACCCUUUUGUCCACACUUCUUUGCUUGCAAAUGUUCACUACAACAGCUCGCUGGUCUGGUGAGGCCUUCUGCUACUCUAUCCAUAGUGGAAUCUCACUGGGACUCCCCUCGGUUAUUCCGUUGUUGUCCUGUGUCAUGGAGAGCUUGUAGCUGAGGAUCUGUGGGACUGACUCCUUCAUGAUGUUGAGGUGGGCCAAUUCGAAUUCCUGGACCUGAGAGGUAUCUGAGCUGCUUAGCACCCAGCUUUUUAAUUCUCACACCCUUGGGGCUGGCUCACCAGCAACUCCCCACCUCCCCAAAACAUUCCAAACCCCUCCCCACCACAACCAGGGCCAGCUCCACCCUGCCGCCCUGGCAAGAUGCAGGGCCCACUCUCACGAGUGCUGCGGCAGGUGGGGGGCAUGGCCAAUUCUCCCACCGCCAUAGGUGGCAAGGGACGAGGGAGGGCAUCUCUCCCUAGUCCUUGGCCCUGCAUAGCAGACAAGAGGCAGGGCCACUUCUCCUGUGCUCACCCUGCCCUCAGGCCAGCUCUGCUGCAACCCCUGUGUCCAAGUCUAGCUCCACUGUGCUGCCCAGGCGAGGUGCAGGGCCUGCUCUCCAGAUUGCUACGGAAGGUGAGAGACAGGGCCAGCACUUCUGCUUUCAUGAUCCUAGGGCCAGCUCUCCCUCCUGCCAUAGAUGGCAAGGAGCGAAUGGGGAGACGAUGUCUCCUUCAUCCACGCUGCCACACAACAGACAAGUUCACUCUCAGGUCCCUGAUGCCUACACCCCUGCCACCAGCAUCAGCUCCACUGUGCUGCCCAGGAGAGGUGCAGGGCCUCUCUCUCAGUGCUACACAAGCUUUGGAUUCUUUAUCUUCUAAUUAACAUCAAUUAAGAGAAUAUCAAUGAUAAUUGUUCUUAUGUUUGAGAUAGUAAAAGAAUGUCCCUCAGGAGACAUUGCCACCCAUUCUAAAUCUAUAAUGCAUUUGCAGUUACAUCAUGUUAGGCACAAUUAUGACCUGCAACCCCUGUGCACCUCCCCUGCAACAUUUCAUUCGGAAAUUAACCACGACAUAAGGAGAUAUGAUUGUGUAUCACGUUGGCAAAGGGUGCACUUGUGAUGGAUAGUCUAUUCUUGAUUGUUAGCAUGUCUCCAUCUGGAAUUAGCUAAAACCCCAAAAUGGAGGGACACACCUGUGAGGGAGUCUUGCUUACUUUGAAGUAGGCAGAUCCACUUCUAAUCCAGGUCUGGAGCAGUGAAGACCCACCUCUCACCUGGGCUAUAUAAAACACAUGGGACAAGGAAGCUUCACUCUUGCUGACUUGCCCUUGCCUUGCUAGCAAGGCCAGUCCUUCCCUGGCAUCAGUGCCUACUUCUCUGGGAUUCCGGUGCACAGCGAAGACCACUGAGACCUCCAGCCUCAUGGACUGAGCAACUGCUGGAUUCUUGGACCUUCCAUUCAGAGGCACCAUUGUUGGUUUAGCUGGACCACAGCCUGUCAGCCUGUAACUCAUUCUAAUGAAUAUAUAUAUAUGCAAGAAAGCAAGAGAAUGAGAGAGAGAGAGAGAGAGAGAGAGAGAGAGAGAGAGAGAGAGAAAGAGAGAGAGAGAUUCUAUAAGUUCUGUUCUCUAGAGAACCCUGAGUAAUUCACAUAGGGUUAGCCCUGUGAUUUCUGUUCUUUAGUUGUGUGCAGUCCUGUCUUGUUUUAGUUUGUAAUUUCCUAAUGUUUAUUUCUCCCUGCCUAUCAUCGGUGGUGGGGUGAUCGUCCCUUGUCCUACUUUAAGUCAGGUCUCUUGCUUGGGUUCUGAGACAUCUUGUAUAUUUUGAUCAAUGAUCCUGUAUUAGCUUCUGUCUUUGCAAACAUUUUAGAUUCGAAUUUCUCUUCUUAUUCUUUGCUGAUCUCUCUAAUGUGUUAGUUGACCUGUUUGCUCAUUUUUUAUUCAGUUUUAAUUUUUUUCUUAGAAGUUUGAGGUUAGGGUCUCAUGAGAGCACUGCACGAGCUGUAACCACUGAGCUAUACCUCUAGUUAUUUUGUUUAGUAUUUUGGCACCGAUAUUCAUGAAAUAAACUGAUCUUUUAAAAGUUUUGGUGGCUCAAUAAA
Rattus norvegicus (Norway rat) is the source of this 19991-nucleotide non-coding RNA. The record is from RefSeq and is a predicted model, not a curated record. Lineage: Eukaryota; Metazoa; Chordata; Mammalia; Rodentia; Muridae.